Long non-coding RNA from Papaver somniferum (opium poppy), 1081 nucleotides. RefSeq lists it as uncharacterized. The record is from RefSeq and is a predicted model, not a curated record. Lineage: Eukaryota; Viridiplantae; Streptophyta; Magnoliopsida; Ranunculales; Papaveraceae. The transcript has 6 exons.
UCUAUCAAUGUAAAUCACGUUUUCUAUCAGUGUUUUUCUUCCCCCAAAUCCUUACUUCCCAAAUCGACUACACAGGUUCCAUAGAACGACACUGAUUUUACAGAAUGGUUUGGUAGAACCCCUUACCCAUUCAAUUGAAACAUGCUCAACCCCAAAUCCAACUCUUACAGCUUCAAUUUUUUCAAUCGACCCCAAAUUCAACUCGUAUGGAUUUUUGAGCUCUAUAUUUCAGCCAUUCUAACCUGAGUUGACAUCGACUUCAAUUUGUCAUUAUGGUCACCGGAUAAGAUUUACAGAGCCAAGGUUGCAAGGUUGAGGUCAAGAAUACCAUUUCUCUGGAAGUCAGGCAUAUUAUUGCCUCCAGUGUCCUUAUACUGCCGCACUUUCAUUUACUGCCAGGUCGAGAAUACCAUUUCCCUGGAAGUCAGGCAUAUAAUUGCCUCCAGUGUCCUUAUAUCGCCGCACUCACGUUUACCGCCAGAUCUAAAUUCCCACACCAGAUUCACCUGAAACUAAAAAGGAAUUAAUGAAGAAAGAUGAAGAUCGAGAAAAAUUUUGAACUGAGUCUGUCGCCGAUUCGCAGAGCUCGGCUCAGUCCAAUUUUCCAACUCCAUCUCCAGUGUCCUUAUAUCGCCUCACUUUCAUUUACUGCCAGGUCAAGAAUACCAUUUUCCUAGAAGUCAGGCAUAUAAUUGCCUCCAGUGUCCUUAUAUCGCCGCACUCCCAUUUACCGCCAGGUACAAACAAUUGACAACAUCCGAAGAACGUAGUUAUACAAAAGCAAAGUCAUAAUACAGUUCCUUCAAUGGGAUCCGACAACUCCCCGAGGAAGAGAUCCCGCCUGAAUCCGGCAAAUAUUCAUGCUUCAGUGGAGCUCAACCCGGCCUCUAGCUCCACUAAAGCAUACGAAUAAAAUACACAUUCUUGAUGUAAAAGGAUAUUUAUGAUUGAAAAAUUAUUAAAUGAAAAUUUCGAGUUUAGUUGUAAUUUUCUUUUUUCUAAGUAGCAUUAAAUGAAUUUUCACCACUUAUGGUUGAUCGGUGACUUAGACCAUUGAAAAUUUGUUGACUUUGACCAUUGA